Loxodonta africana (African savanna elephant) is the source of this 64-nucleotide non-coding RNA. The record is from Rfam. NCBI's taxonomy places the organism in Eukaryota, Metazoa, Chordata, Mammalia, Proboscidea, Elephantidae.
GGUGGUGUAGUGGUUAAGACCUUGGCUGUUAACCAAAAGGUCGGUGGUUCAAAUCCACCAGCCA